AUCGAAUUAUCAAGAAAUCUCUCUGGUGCAUUCUAAAUCCUCUUGGGUCCCUUCCAAUUGCCUAAGCAUUCACCAAAAUUCAUGGACGGUGUAACAUUAGUGUCUCUGUAAUGACCGACCUUAGGUACUUCAAUU
This is a long non-coding RNA of Lycium ferocissimum, 135 nucleotides long. RefSeq lists it as uncharacterized. Lineage: Eukaryota; Viridiplantae; Streptophyta; Magnoliopsida; Solanales; Solanaceae. The transcript is spliced from 2 exons. The record is from RefSeq and is a predicted model, not a curated record.